This 1759-nucleotide long non-coding RNA is filed under the name Salvia miltiorrhiza (redroot sage). Its description in RNAcentral is "long non-coding RNA (SMIL_LNC001779)". The record is from RNAcentral. Lineage: Eukaryota; Viridiplantae; Streptophyta; Magnoliopsida; Lamiales; Lamiaceae.
UUUUUGAGAGCUCACAGCCACUCUCUCUCCUACUUGGCGCUCUCAAAAACCUCUAUUUCUUCCUCUUUGAAUUCUUCUAAGCCAAAGGCGUUUCAUAAAUAGGCGUUUCUUAAUUUCUCUAUUUCUUCCCCCCUCUCCCUAAUCAUAAAAAAAGGCGUUUCAUUUGUUUAUAUAAGGCAAUCACCACAUCACAAGGGGAUCAUUAAUCUCCUAAUCUCUUUAAUCAUUAAUUAAGAGAUUUCAAAGAGCCCAUCAUCUUCUCCAAAAUAUUUCUCCCAAAUUUGCUACUAUUUGAAUUCACUCAGCGUUACUCACUCAAAAUUAUACUCCAUCUUCUCAAAAAAUCUUCUCCACAAUUCAUCCAAUCAGCAGAAAGGGCAGAUAACUUUUCAAAGCAGGUGCUUCAUCCAUGGCUGCAAACGCCUCUUGCCCACAAAUUGGAAGGUGCUUCUGUCUAUCUCUCUCUCUAUUUCAUUCGAUAGCCCAAAUUUGGAAGGUGCUUCAUCCCUGGCUGCAAUCGUCUCUUCCCCACAACUACAGAUCCAUAUAUGAAUCAAGGUAAGUAAUUGGGAGUGAUAGAUUUGGAAAGGCUAAUCUGUCGAUUUCAUCCUUCCUAUAUAAUAUGUUAAUUUCUGUAAUUUUUUCGAUGACGAAGAUAAAGUUGUAACAGUUGACGCCAUUGUAAACCCUAUCGAUCUCAUCAGUUUCAGUGAUUGAUCCGUCGUUAGAGCUCCUAUCCUGCUGCUUCAUCUUGGUUGUAUCGUUCAUCAACAUCUCUUACAGAUUCAUGAAUCAAUGCUUGGGGGUAAGUAAUUUUGGGAGUCAAUAGAUUCGGAAAGCUGCAAAUCUGUCUUCCGUAAUUUCAUCUUUCCCAUAUUUUUUAUAUAAAUUUUCAACUUUGCAAAAUAUUCAUCUACACCAUCUACUUCAUAUCAGUCACAGACUCCCCUAAGCUACUCGAGCUAUAGACGCCGACGAGAGAAAAAUAAUUGUUCGUCAAUGCCUACGCAAACGAUUCCAGUUUUCGGUUAGUUUUUAUUUACUAAUAUCUAUAGAUAUUGUGGUUCAAGUGUGAUCUUUUAAAUUGUGAUGUGGUUGUCAGUCAAUGAAAUAACUAGAAACUAGCAAAUAUUUUCUGCAGUUUGAUUAAGCAUUCUAUUUCUCCGUAUCCAAAGAGGAUAUCGUUUCUGAAAAAGAAAGAGCACACCCAGAGGAAUUUUGUAUCCACCUUUGUAGAGAAAGCAUUGUGUUUGGUCUCAUUAUGCAUUGUAGUCUGGGUGAAUUUUAACAAGGAAAGGCUAAAAUUCCUCCUAUAUCACCAUGUUCUUCUAUUUUUGUUGAAAUCUUAGGAAUAUUUAUUUAUGUUAAAAGGCACAUGAAUGUGCUUUCUGAUUGUGCUAUGCUUCAUUGAGUUUUUCCUGUCAAUACAGGGAAAGUUUCCACUGCAGCCACUUUAUCAUCUGUAUGCUCUGGCCAACUGGUGUUCUCGUGAUACUCUUAUAUUGUGCUCUUACACAAUGGUUGACUAAUGCUCUCACUGCAGACUCACUCCAGUCAUUUUGUACAAAUCAAGUGUAUGUUGUCCAUUAAUUAGAAGUACUUCUCAAUCUUGUUUAUCUGUAUUAUUUAACAUUGAUCAUAUAUAGUAGAGAUUGAUAUAUGUUUGUAAUCUAUCUCUUCUUUGCUUAAUACCAACAAGCCAUGGCUGCUGUUCUGGAAGAUGCUUUUGAAAUCAAUUACAAUAGUAUAUUGACAUGUA